AUUGAACGCUGGCGGCAUGCCUUACACAUGCAAGUCGAACGGUAACGCGGGGCAACCUGGCGACGAGUGGCGAACGGGUGAGUAAUGUAUCGGAACGUGCCCAGUUGUGGGGGAUAACUGCUCGAAAGAGCAGCUAAUACCGCAUACGACCUGAGGGUGAAAGCGGGGGAUCGCAAGACCUCGCGCAAUUGGAGCGGCCGAUAUCAGAUUAGGUAGUUGGGGGGGUAAAGGCUCACCAAGCCGACGAUCUGUAGCUGGUCUGAGAGGACGACCAGCCACACUGGGACUGAGACACGGCCCAGACUCCUACGGGAGGCAGCAGUGGGGAAUUUUGGACAAUGGACGCAAGUCUGAUCCAGCCAUGCCGCGUGCGGGAAGAAGGCCUUCGGGUUGUAAACCGCUUUUGUCAGGGAAGAAAAGGCUCCUUCUAAUAUAGGGGGCUCAUGACGGUACCUGAAGAAUAAGCACCGGCUAACUACGUGCCAGCAGCCGCAGUAA
This 498-nucleotide ribosomal RNA is filed under the name uncultured bacterium. RNAcentral's name for it is "partial 16S ribosomal RNA". It matches the Rfam family "Bacterial small subunit ribosomal RNA", at positions 29 to 523 of the family's 1533-position model. The record is from RNAcentral.